CUGGGCUGUUUUUUUUUGGAAAAGUCUUGCAUUAGCAAUAGUGUGAUCACACACUGAUAAAGUGGACCUUCCCAAAGUACUUCAGUAAGCUGUUGUAGAAAGAAAAAAGAGAGGAAGAUGUGGAAAGACUUUAAUAAGAUGCAUGAAACCAUGAGGUCUUCUUGUCUCUAUAUAUCUUUAAGGCAGAUAACAAAAUGAGGCAAGUCAUCCUUGUUUUGUCUGAUUUUUCCUCUGGAUUUGUACUGGACUUCUUAUGAAAGUUACAGAAGUACCAUGUUCUGAAUCUUACUGUUCUUUAUGAUUUAAAAUCAUUAUGUCUUAGGAGGAAUCAAACUAUGGCUCUUAAGCAAUUUGUUGUUCCCACAUUAGCAUCUGACUAGCAAAGGCACUCUAGUAGGCAACUGUGAGUUUUGCAGAUCCUCAGCUGUGAAGUAUAGCACAGCAGGAACCACUGGGCUUGAUUGACAUUGCUCAUUUGCUCUUUAACACAGCUGCCUGCUAAUCCCACCAGGAAAUGUCUCUGAACCAUAACAGAUUCAGUUGCUGUAUACCUGUGAUAUACUCUGGGAUCUCCUCUGCUAGCUCUUACUCCUGAAUAAUGCAGAUGAUUGAUGCUUGCCUGCUUUGGGGUGCUGCAAGAUGUUAGACUGCCUGAGAUCACGUAAUAUCUAUGAUGCUGAAGGAAAGGCCACAGUUGUCUUUACCCUGCAAUGAGUUUCAUCAAGAGAGCAGAGGAGACUUUACUAAAUAUCCUGGAUCAUGUCGUAAGGGACACAACACAUCAGCAAUAACAAGGCAUGGUAACAAUACGUCUGAGGGCUACAAAGAUCGUGGCCUAUGUGGCCCCAGUAAGUGAAGUACUGAAACUCUGGUCCACUUGGAUUAUAAUGAAUAGACAGGUGAGGUGUGAAGUUGCAUGCUGAAUUGGCUGCUGCAAAUGCAAUGCUGAAUGUCUUUUAGGAUAAGCCCCAAAAUACUGAAACACAGCCCAAGAUUUGUUUCUAGACACACUAGAAGCAGAAUGAAUGCCCCACAUCCUCACACCAGAAGCAGCUAGAACAAUGUCUGAGCUCUGCUUGUUACCAAUCUAGAGGCUUGGCUAAGGCCCUUCCCUCUCCCAGCAGGCAGCGCUGGGCCUGAUGAACCCAGAGUAUGGUUUGCUCUUUGGGCUGCCAGGGCAUGCUGCUGACUCAUAUUCAACUUGCUGCCAAACAGAACCCCC
Molecule: long non-coding RNA, 1222 nt
Filed under: Phasianus colchicus (ring-necked pheasant)
Lineage: Eukaryota; Metazoa; Chordata; Aves; Galliformes; Phasianidae
Description: lncRNA (ENSPCLG00000001306.1)
Source: RNAcentral